AAAGACAGGCAAUGGAAAGAGUAGCCUGGGAAACUGUAUUCUGGGUAAAGAGGAAUUUGAAACUGGUACUGGUAUGUUUUCGACAACAGCAAGAGCUGAAAAGAGAUCAAGAAUUAGUAGCGUGAAAACUAUAACGGUUGUGGACACACCAGACAUCGAUAACCUUCAUUACGGUCCUGACGAGAGGGAGCAAGAAGUCCAGAGCUGGAAAAGAAUGACAUCACUUGACCAUCCAACCAUCCUACUUGCUUUGCGCUGUGACGAGGAGUUUGCCAUCUACAAAGACUUUAAGCGCCUUUGGGGGGACAACGCCGGCAUCAGGCGCCAUCUCGUUGUGGCCUUCACCUUUGGGGACAAGCAGACGCGAGACCUCAAGAGGAGCUGAGGGUGUGUGUAUGAGCUGAAGAGUGUCUUGAAAGAUGCCAACCACCGCUACAUGCUUUUCAACAAAAAGGGCCUGAACAAAACAGAGCAAGUCGAUCAGCUGUUUAAAGUCAUCAGAUCACCAUACAGGUCGGAGGCCUCACAGAAACCGAAAAUCAUGUCCAUGGUCUGCAUGGCCAUCGGUCUACUAGCGGCAGGUGGCUGUGUCACUGCGGGAGUCUUCCACGAGCUGGAUUUGGCUAUCGGCCUGGGGGUGGUUGCUUUGUUGAUAGUCCUUCUGGCGCUGGUAUGUCGGUGUAAAUUCCGAAAAUAAAUCUGAUCAACUUGUUACUCCUCAGACAUUUUUUUACAAAGCUGAUUUUCUAAACAAUAAAGGAAAAUUUGUCUGAUGUCUUAAUCUUAAUUCAGAAGAUAAAGAUUUA
This is a long non-coding RNA of Pomacea canaliculata, 806 nucleotides long. RefSeq lists it as uncharacterized. The transcript has 3 exons. The record is from RefSeq and is a predicted model, not a curated record. NCBI's taxonomy places the organism in Eukaryota, Metazoa, Mollusca, Gastropoda, Architaenioglossa, Ampullariidae.